Molecule: long non-coding RNA, 802 nt
Organism: Hippopotamus amphibius kiboko
Lineage: Eukaryota; Metazoa; Chordata; Mammalia; Artiodactyla; Hippopotamidae
Exons: 3
Source: RefSeq, a predicted model, not a curated record
GAACCUGUGUGAUAGAAACGUUAGAAAUGAUUUAGCGUUGAUGUAAGAGCAGUGUUGCUGACCUGAUGGGGGGAAGCAUGGACACCGUCCCAGGCUGCAUUUUGAAUAUGUCAUCUCACACCCUCUGGCCUCUGUGGUUUCUGAUGAGAAGUCAGCUGUUCAGCUUAUUGAUGAUCCCUUGUACUUGACAGGAUCAGAAGAAUGAUGGCCCCUGAAUGGCUCACUCAAUUAUUAUACCAUCUCGCAGUUAGAAGUAUUUUGCAAAACAUCAGGGAAAAGAGAUGAGAUUCCAUAUGUAGAAGCAUUUAUGCUAUUGCAUCAGAAGGAAAAGGAGUCAGAGGACUGCUACUUUAUGGUGCAGUAAUCUGAAAGAAAACCUAAGGGGAAACCUAUUCUAUAAGGGGAAGAGAGAGAAAAUGAGAGUGGGGACAUAUUGCUCCUGAACUUAAACCCCCCUCAGCCUAUCCAGCUCUCCCACUGGCCGAGCAGGCUGCACCAGCAGUUGUUCCAACUGCCUCCCCCAUGCCACCAACAUAUUCACCCCUUUCACCAUCUCCUGUUUCACCCACCCAUGGGGAUCAGAUAGAGUUUCUAUGGUAAUCCCCAGGGCACAGGGACCUAGUUUAUUAUCACCAUCUAAAACCCAACAGGGCACCCAAUUUGGACCAGUAGCCACAUUCACAGAAGGGCAAUUUCCCUGGCGCCUAUAUCCUGUAGGAGGCUUUAAUGCAAAUGGCCAACCAGCUGGGUUCCUAUGGAUGCACAAUCCAUUCUCCACUUCAGAUUUGCUUAAUUGGAAAAA